Molecule: ribosomal RNA, 301 nt
Filed under: uncultured bacterium
Lineage: Bacteria
Description: partial 16S ribosomal RNA
Rfam family: Bacterial small subunit ribosomal RNA
Source: RNAcentral
CAGUAGCCACGGUAAUACAGAGGGUGCGAGCGUUAAUCGGAUUUACUGGGCGUAAAGCGUGCGUAGGCGGCUAAUUGAGUCGGAUGUGAAAUCCCCGAGCUUAACUUAGGAAUUGCAUUCGAUACUGGGAAGCUAGAGUAUGGGAGAGGAUGGUAGAAUUCCAGGUGUAGCGGUGAAAUGCGUAGAGAUCUGGAGGAAUACCGAUGGCGAAGGCAGCCAUCUGGCCUAAUACUGACGCUGAGGUACGAAAGCAUGGGGAGCAAACAGGAUUAGAUACCCGAGUAGUCCCUGUCUCUUAUAC